RNAcentral lists this ribosomal RNA (253 nucleotides) under uncultured bacterium. Its description in RNAcentral is "partial 16S ribosomal RNA". It matches the Rfam family "Bacterial small subunit ribosomal RNA", at positions 524 to 776 of the family's 1533-position model. The record is from RNAcentral.
UACGGAGGGGGCUAGCGUUGUUCGGAAUUACUGGGCGUAAAGCGCACGUAGGCGGACUGUUAAGUCGGGGGUGAAAUCCUGGGGCUCAACCUCAGAAUUGCCUCCGAUACUGGCAGUCUCGAGUGCGGGAGAGGUGAGUGGAAUUCCCAGUGUAGAGGUGAAAUUCGUAGAUAUCUGGAGGAACACCGGUGGCGAAGGCGGCGUUCUGGACUGCUACUGACACUGAGGAACGAAAGCCAGGGGAGCAAACGGG